ACUACAUGGUGUGAGCACUUACGAAUGAAGUCCUUAAGUCUCUCCCAUGCUUUAUGAAACAAUUCUUCAAUAAUCUGGGAAAAACUAGUAAUAGCUUUUCUGAUUU
Molecule: small nucleolar RNA, 106 nt
Organism: Elaeis guineensis (African oil palm)
Lineage: Eukaryota; Viridiplantae; Streptophyta; Magnoliopsida; Arecales; Arecaceae
Source: RefSeq, a predicted model, not a curated record